UUUGUACUCCCUCCGUACCAAAAUUCUUGUCUUAAAUUUGUCUAAAUACGGAUGUAUCUAGUUACAUUUUAGUGUUAGAUACAUCUGUAUCUAAACAAAUGUAAGACAAGAAUUUUGGGACGCAGGGAAUACUAC
This is a non-coding RNA of Triticum aestivum (bread wheat), 135 nucleotides long. NCBI's taxonomy places the organism in Eukaryota, Viridiplantae, Streptophyta, Magnoliopsida, Poales, Poaceae. The record is from Rfam.